UUCUUUUGUUUUAUAUAUAAGGUCUAACCUGCCCAAUGAUUUAUUUAAUGGCCGCGGUAUAUUAACUGUGCUAAGGUAGCAUAAUCAUUUGUCUUUUAAUUAAAGGCUAGAAUGAACGGUUGGACGAGGUAUUUUCUUUCUUAGUUUUAAUUUAUGAAUUUAAUUUUUUAGUUAAAAAGCUAAAAUUUAUUUGUGGGACGAGAAGACCCUAUAGAUCUUUAUAUGUUAUACUAUUAUAUAUUUUAGAAUAUUAAUUGUUGUAAUAAUAUAUUAUAUUUGAUUGGGGUGAUUAUAGAAUUUUAAUUAACUUCUAUUUAAGUUUUUCGUUAAUUAAUGUAUAUUUGAUCCAAUUUUAUUGAUUAAAAGAUUAAGUUACCUUAGGGAUAACAGCGUAAUUCUUUUGGAGAGCUCAAAUCGAUAAAAGAGUUUGCGACCUCRAUGUUGGAUUAAAAUAAGUUUUAGGGUGCAGAAGCUCAAAAACUAGGUCUGUUCGACCUUUAAUUUUUUACAUGAUCUGAGUUCA
This 523-nucleotide ribosomal RNA is filed under the name Harpactorini sp. 'Hartzelus' 00004769. RNAcentral describes it as "partial 16S ribosomal RNA". It matches the Rfam family "Bacterial large subunit ribosomal RNA", at positions 1831 to 2613 of the family's 2925-position model. Lineage: Eukaryota; Metazoa; Arthropoda; Insecta; Hemiptera; Reduviidae. The record is from RNAcentral.